Molecule: transfer RNA, 56 nt
Filed under: Schistocephalus solidus
Lineage: Eukaryota; Metazoa; Platyhelminthes; Cestoda; Diphyllobothriidea; Diphyllobothriidae
Rfam family: tRNA
About the family: Transfer RNA (tRNA) molecules are approximately 80 nucleotides in length. Their secondary structure includes four short double-helical elements and three loops (D, anti-codon, and T loops).
Source: Rfam by way of RNAcentral
GAGUCCGUGGCUCAAUGGUAGAGCGUUCGACUCAAAUACCAAAAAUCGCGGAUUCG